Molecule: ribosomal RNA, 593 nt
Filed under: uncultured bacterium
Lineage: Bacteria
Description: bacterial SSU rRNA
Rfam family: Bacterial small subunit ribosomal RNA
Source: RNAcentral
ACGGGGUAGGACAAUCUCGGUAACGUACCCUUCGGACGGGGAUAGCCACGGGAAACUGUGGGUAAUACCCGAUGAUCUGGCGAGCGUUUAGGGCUCGUCAGCAAAGGUGAGAUUCCACCGGAGGAGCGGCUGAGACGCUAUUAGCUUGUUGGUGAGGUAACGGCUCACCAAGGCGACGAUGGCUAGGGGGUGUGAGAGCACGGCCCCCACCACUGGCACUGAGACACUGGCCAGACACCUACGGGUGGCUGCAGUCGAGAAUCUUCGGCAAUGGGCGCAAGCCUGACCGAGCGACGCCGCGCGCGGGAUGAAGGUCUUCGGAUUGUAAACCGCUGUCGGAGGGGAUGAAGUGUAUGGGAGCUAUCUCCUGUAUUUGACAGAGCCUCGGAGGAAGCACGGGCUAAGUUCGUGCCAGCAGCCGCGGUAAUACGAACUGUGCAAACGUUAUUCGGAAUCACUGGGCUUAAAGGGUGCGUAGGCGGUCGCCCCAGUCAGGUGUGAAAUCCCCCGGCUCAACCGGGGAACAGCGCUUGAAACUAGGUGACUUGAGUGAGGUAAGGGUACGCGGAACUUCUGGUGGAGCGGUGAAAUGU